AACGAGUUGCUGAGGGGUAAAUGGAAGGGAUUAGUUGUGAGAAUUCAGGCUGUAGGAGGGAAAAACUUCAUAGAUUGGCAAACCAGUACAAUCUUGACAUUUCUGGUCAUUUUCAGUGAUCUAUCAGCUGGAAAGCCAGUCCAAACUUAAGAAAAUGUCUUGUUGAUGCAGUCGACUAGAACCCCAUGUAGAUCAGAUAAAUACGAGGACAAGAAAUUUGUGUGUCAAAUCAGCUUGAGCAAAUUGUCAGAAUAGGCAG
RNAcentral lists this long non-coding RNA (259 nucleotides) under Musa acuminata (dwarf banana). RNAcentral describes it as "long non-coding RNA (MACU_LNC003699)". Lineage: Eukaryota; Viridiplantae; Streptophyta; Magnoliopsida; Zingiberales; Musaceae. The record is from RNAcentral.